This 838-nucleotide long non-coding RNA is filed under the name Triticum aestivum (bread wheat). RNAcentral's name for it is "long non-coding RNA (TAES_LNC018082)". The record is from RNAcentral. Lineage: Eukaryota; Viridiplantae; Streptophyta; Magnoliopsida; Poales; Poaceae.
AUUUAUAAUCAGACAAAGGAUUCUGAUUGUAUGAAGAUGUUAUGUGGUGCUACAAUGUAUGAAGAUGUCAGGGAAGCUAACAAUCUGGAUUACGUCUCCUGAUGGGUAGUAUAUCCAACUGACACUCGUGAACAGACGAUUUCUAGUACUAUUAUAGAUAAACAAGGAAACUUGUUAGAAACAUCAUCACUGUUUCUUUAUUGCCAAACACUGAUUCCUUAAAUUCCCCGUUGACCUGUGCGGCCGGAUGAUUCACUUUGCUAUGUCAGUCGCUAGUACAAGGACAAAUCUAAAUCAGAGUAUAUAGUAUAUACAAAUACAAAUCGGAACAAGCACCCAAAUCAGAGUAUAUACAGUACAUACAAAUACAAAUGACAAAGAAAGGAAGGCAGUAGAUUUGUUCACGAAUUAGUAAACAUCGGCUACAAACAAGAAAGAUGUUGUUUAGACUUCAGAUACCACAACAUCAGACCAUCGCCAUCACUAAUUAGCUCUGCACCACACUUCAAUCACCAUCAACAUUAGACAAUCACCUAUAGUGAAAAAGGUAGUUUAGAAAUUGUCAAUCCUCCUAGAUCCAUCAGACCAUCACCAUCAUAAAAUCACGGCAAUCUCGCUGGGUAGGGUUAGGGUCGAUGAGGGGCUAGAAGAGGACCGCGUUCUUGGUGAGCUCGCUGGGUAGGGUUAGGGUCCAUGUGAAGCUAGGGGUAGGAGACGACGUUCUUGGCGAGCUCGCCGGCGAGGACGAGGCGGACGGAGAUGGGGAGAGGCGGCGAUGACUUACCACCAGGGAGAAAGCCAGUAUGCUGGAGGAGUAACGCCGGUGUCGAGGCAUCGG